Molecule: long non-coding RNA, 765 nt
Organism: Physcomitrium patens
Lineage: Eukaryota; Viridiplantae; Streptophyta; Bryopsida; Funariales; Funariaceae
Source: RefSeq, a predicted model, not a curated record
CGCUAUCGUGGCAUCUCAUGUACCGGUACCGUAGCUUUGAUUGCUUUCAGUGAAGGCCAUUAACCCAAUUCUAUAAGUUCCGACCUGAAGUCGCUGCGAGGACCGUCACGACGAGUGCAUAACUCUCGCUCUGAUUUGAGCAGGGACCGUUCGCUUCAUGUAUUCAGACAGUUGAAGGGGAUUCUAGUUGUCGACCCUCUUCGAAUCUCCAAUCAAGGACAGACGAAUCCGACCUCACAGUGGAGAUCCAGCUCGAUCUACAGCACACGUCGCUGAACCAAAACUGUAAGUAUCACUCAAGGCUGCAGAACCCCCCGCAGCACACUCCAGGAAGAAGUUUUCAAAGGAUUGUGUGCUGUUGAUUUGGUGUAGAGGAGCUGCUGCUGCAGCAGCAGCAGCGAUCAUGUUGAGCGUGGUGGAGUUUGUGUCCUCGGCCGUCGAGGAGUUUUCUUCGCAUGUCGCAAAGCAUUUGAUUGGCUGCCUCGGUAUCUCCGUCGUCGAGGGAUACUAUGAUCUAGCAAAAGAUUGCGAAGCGGUUAGAUCUCCACAAUUGCUGAUACAAGAGCAGAUUUGAAGGAAGUGUGUGCACUAAAACGGUGUCAAAAUUGAAGCUUUGGUUUGCGACUUCACAGCUUGUUCAUGAAUGUUUAGUUAUUGUAGGUCAAACGUAGAGGUGUGAUGGGGAUUGUGCACUUACUUGUUAUUCCAAUGGUGGAGUGGAUUUAAAAAGAUAAUUGGCUAAUUUUUAUUUUUACUUUUAUUUUA